Drosophila arizonae is the source of this 773-nucleotide long non-coding RNA. The record is from RefSeq and is a predicted model, not a curated record. NCBI's taxonomy places the organism in Eukaryota, Metazoa, Arthropoda, Insecta, Diptera, Drosophilidae.
UGAGUUGUGCGUUCAGUACAACGACGCGCUUUGUAUCUUAUAGUUCGUUGCGCAGAGUCGCAGAUAGAUUUUCGGAUCGCCGCUCGCAGCUCACAUGUGUGGAUUGUGGAUUAACUCUAAUUUGUUUUUGAUUGCUGCCCAGGGAACGGCCAUGGGAAGGGGAACGAAACGAAACGAAACCUGAUCACACACAUCGAAGUUGUCAACGCUCAGCGAUAAUUCGAGUGGAUUUUAAUUUGACACCAACCGGAGCAACGGCACACGAUCCAAACAGCAACGUUAUCGAAAGGGAAGGCGAGCAAAGGAGCAAGGGGCAAGUAGCAAGUAGCUAGGAGAGCGAGGACUACGAAAAGGCUCAUUGGGUUAUGCGCUCGUGCCACAUGAAGCAUUAGGCAAACAAAUUUGCCUCUGGCUCCGACAGCGACUCCUGCGACUGCGAGCAAAUGUCGAGGGGUUGUUGAGUUCAUAAGGAAGUUGCGGCGCAUGUGAGGGUCGAGACAAAGCAAGCGACAAGCGAUCCUGCCGAGGACGAGCUAUGCCUAUCGGCCACACCAAUGCCAGCUGAACGCUGAGGGUUAGAGCCACCGAUACACGCGCCCAGCCAGUGGCUGCCCUGGUCGGUCUUAUCUUAAAGCUUACCAGACCAAGCCAGGCCGGGAGGGUGCCGACGAAAACGAGCAGAUGUUCAGAGCUGGAAAACCAGACGAGUCAACAAUUACGCCUUGAGUUCAGUGUAGGGGAGGGGCAGCAGGCUUCCAUUUGCCAUUUGGCGA